Molecule: long non-coding RNA, 829 nt
Organism: Rhineura floridana
Lineage: Eukaryota; Metazoa; Chordata; Lepidosauria; Squamata; Rhineuridae
Exons: 4
Source: RefSeq, a predicted model, not a curated record
AAGAGCCGCGUGAAUGUAGAAACGGCGUGAGCCGCUAGGGGGCGAGGGAGAGACGUGACGGAAGGAGCCGAUAAUUGAGGGAGGAGGAGGAGGAGGAAUUAACGUGAUAGCGUCACGCGCACAGAGAAGGCGGAGCCGCGGAGAGAGCGCCAUGGAGGAGAAAGCGAGUUCGGCUCCUGGGCAACGUGAAGGCACAGCUGUAUUCAUGUCCUGCUUGCCGGCUUCCCAGAGGCACCUGGUUGGCUGCUGUGACAGCAGAAUGCUGGACUGGGCCUGAUCCAGCUGCAGGACUCUCGUGCACCUUUGGGGAUUGGAGCAGCAGAUGUUACCUGGAAGAGGUAACUUUUCUGGAGUCAGAAGAGCCUGUUUGAAAGAGUUCAAGAUGUGAGGUAGUUUGCAUUGGAUCCAGCAACGCUGAGUGAGGAGGAAGUAGAUCCUGCUGUUGAAACCUUCUCUGGUCACCAUUUGGCAAGAGUCCUACCUGAUGGGACUUGAGUCCUGGCACCAUCCAGCUCUUAACACUGAAUUUCAAUUCAGUGAAAGGUCACUUGAGGAGGAGAUGCCCGCUUGUGCCAUGCAGCUGCUAUGAUGGUGCCCCCAGAGAGCAUUCCUGUUCAACAACUGCUGUCUUAACUCCUGCACAGCGCCAGCUGGGGGUUGCAUUUAGCCCACUAGUGGGUGAUAGGGGUGGCCCCCCUUUGCUUAGCCCUGUUCCGUGUUGAGUCACUGCCAGCUGACUAAAUCUGGGCAGGGUGUCAGACUUGAAAAUACCCGGAAGUCCCUGGUCAAAGAGCAAGUUUCUUUUAAUAAAUAUGCAGAUAAGAGUAAA